Molecule: ribosomal RNA, 468 nt
Filed under: uncultured bacterium
Lineage: Bacteria
Description: partial 16S ribosomal RNA
Rfam family: Bacterial small subunit ribosomal RNA
Source: RNAcentral
GACGAACGCUGGCGGCGUGCUUAACACAUGCGAGUCGAACGGAAAGGCCCUGCUUUUGUGGGGUGCUCGAGUGGCGAACGGGUGAGUAACACGUGAGUAACCUGCCCUUGACUUUGGGAUAACUUCAGGAAACUGGGGCUAAUACCGGAUAGGAGCUCCUGCUGCAUGGUGGGGGUUGGAAAGUUUCGGCGGUUGGGGAUGGACUCGCGGCUUAUCAGCUUGUUGGUGGGGUAGUGGCUUACCAAGGCUUUGACGGGUAGCCGGCCUGAGAGGGUGACCGGCCACAUUGGGACUGAGAUACGGCCCAGACUCCUACGGGAGGCAGCAGUGGGGAAUAUUGCACAAUGGGCGGAAGCCUGAUGCAGCAACGCCGCAUGCGGGAUGACGGCCUUCGGGUUGUAAACCGCUUUCGCCUGUGACGAAGCGUGAGUGACGGUAAUGGGUAAAGAAGCACCGGCUAACUACGUG